This 483-nucleotide ribosomal RNA is filed under the name uncultured bacterium. Its description in RNAcentral is "partial 16S ribosomal RNA". It matches the Rfam family "Bacterial small subunit ribosomal RNA", at positions 30 to 507 of the family's 1533-position model. The record is from RNAcentral.
UUGAACGCUGGCGGCAGGCCUAACACAUGCAAGUCGAGCGGAUGAAGGGAGCUUGCUCCUGGAUUCAGCGGCGGACGGGUGAGUAAUGCCUAGGAAUCUGCCUGGUAGUGGGGGAUAACGUCCGGAAACGGGCGCUAAUACCGCAUACGUCCUGAGGGCGACAGUGUGGGAUCUUCGGACCUCACGCUAUCAGAUGAGCCUAGGUCGGAUUAGCUAGUUGGUGGGGUAAAGGCCUACCAAGGCGACGAUCCGUAACUGGUCUGAGAGGAUGAUCAGUCACACUGGAACUGAGACACGGUCCAGACUCCUACGGGAGGCAGCAGUGGGGAAUAUUGGACAAUGGGCGAAAGCCUGAUCCAGCCAGGCCGCGUGUGUGAAGAAGGUCUUCGGAUUGGAAAGCACUUUAAGUUGGGAGGAAGGGCAGUAAGUUAAUACCUUGCUGUUUUGACGGUACCAACAGAAUAAGCACCGGCUAACUUCGUG